This 400-nucleotide ribosomal RNA is filed under the name uncultured bacterium. RNAcentral describes it as "bacterial SSU rRNA". It matches the Rfam family "Bacterial small subunit ribosomal RNA", at positions 356 to 773 of the family's 1533-position model. The record is from RNAcentral.
GGGGAAUAUUGGACAAUGGGCGCAAGCCUGAUCCAGCAAUUCCGCGUGGGUGAAGAAGGUCUUCGGAUUGUAAAGCCCUUUCGACGGGGACGAUGAUGACGGUACCCGUAGAAGAAGCCCCGGCUAACUUCGUGCCAGCAGCCGCGGUAAUACGAAGGGGGCUAGCGUUGCUCGGAAUUACUGGGCGUAAAGGGCGCGUAGGCGGCUUAGUUAGUCAGGCGUGAAAUUCCUGGGCUCAACCUGGGGACUGCGCUUGAUACGGCUAGGCUAGAGGAUGGAAGAGGGUCGCGGAAUUCCCAGUGUAGAGGUGAAAUUCGUAGAUAUUGGGAAGAACACCGGUGGCGAAGGCGGCGACCUGGUCCAUUACUGACGCUGAGGCGCGACAGCGUGGGGAGCAAAC